CAAAUGGUGAUGCUUCUAACAGCGAAUGUUUUAUAGCAAUGAAGUUUCCAAGCUAUUCUGGGGAGAGAAAAGUUUACUGAUCCACCCAAGCCUGCGAUAUAGGUGGAAGAUCUUUACCCCACAGCUGUCAUGACGGGGAGGAGCACUGGGACCAGGUGGUCUGUGCUUCAGGGUUUAACACUACCCACUCAAAGGGUGAGCGGGACCCUGUCACGAUGUGGUAUUUAAAUAUGCCACCUGCACAUUAGCGUUGUAGAAGAACAUGGUGAAAUGAACCUAUUUAUAUGUAAAGCAUCCCACACAAUGAAUUAAGAGAAGCAUGGGGGAAAAAAAAUUGUUCUUUACUAUACUGUUCCUUUCAUGCUCAAAAUCCAGCCAAAUAUGGGAAAUUUGAAAGUUUCUAGAAAAUAGUUUUGACCUACUACACAAGGCACAAGAAGCCAGAAAGCAGAACCGGUGCCAGCAGCGUUCUGGUGAUUGAUAUGCUCCCACCUGAUGUACAUGUCAAAAUUUCCAGCAUGCCGCUGCGAGCCAGGGUGUUAAUUUGUCUGCUUAUUCACAAUGUGAGAGCUAUAAAAGUGUGAAAGAAACUGUAAUGACAGACUAAUAAAUAAUACUCUCCUGGUGCGAGCAGCCUCUGCAAAGCUGCCCCUGCAGUUGUCUCACUGAGCAUCAAGAAUGUAGCAAAACGGUUCAUUUAAAUUUGUCUAAUAAAUAUUCAUUAGGCUGAACGUGUCAAUUAGUGCUGCGGCUGCUGCUUGCCAGGACACACAGGCACCAGCACCGGCCCCGGCCCCGGCCCNNNNNNNNNNNNNNNNNNNNNNNNNNNNNNNNNNNNNNNGGCACCGGCCCCGGCCCCGGCCCCAGCGCAGCGGCUCCAGCGCAGCCCUUGGCCUCGCCAUCGCACAGUUUCCAGGCACAUCACCAGGAGCAAAAGGAGAUCAAUAUUUUUCAAGUUACUGACCUUUAAUGCUGGUCUGAGCACAGGAUGUCGAAGGGAUCAAACCGAACAAAACCAGGACGAGGUUGAUG
RNAcentral lists this long non-coding RNA (1032 nucleotides) under Struthio camelus australis. RNAcentral's name for it is "lncRNA (ENSSCUG00000000278.1)". The record is from RNAcentral. Lineage: Eukaryota; Metazoa; Chordata; Aves; Struthioniformes; Struthionidae.